GCCAACGUUCAUAUCACGUUGAAUACACCAGUUCUCGUCCGAUCACUGAAGUUAAGCAACGUUGAGCGUGGAUAGUACUUGGAUGGGUGACCGCUUGGGAACACCACGUAACGUUGGCAUUA
This 122-nucleotide ribosomal RNA is filed under the name Diaphorina citri (Asian citrus psyllid). Lineage: Eukaryota; Metazoa; Arthropoda; Insecta; Hemiptera; Psyllidae. The record is from RNAcentral.